RNAcentral lists this ribosomal RNA (355 nucleotides) under uncultured bacterium. Its description in RNAcentral is "partial 16S ribosomal RNA". It matches the Rfam family "Bacterial small subunit ribosomal RNA", at positions 338 to 708 of the family's 1533-position model. The record is from RNAcentral.
CCUACGGGGGGCAGCAGUGGGGAAUAUUGGGCAAUGGGCGCAAGCCUGACCCAGCAACGCCGCGUGAAGGAAGAAGGCUUUCGGGUUGUAAACUUCUUUUAAGAGGGAAGAGCAGAAGAAGGUACCUCUUGAAUAAGCCACGGCUAACUACGUGCCAGCAGCCGCGGUAAUAAGGAGGUGGCAAGCGUUGUCCGGAGUUACUGGGUGUAAAGGGCGUGUAGCCGGGAAGCCAAGUCAGAUGUGAAAUCCCGGGGCUCAACCGCGGAACUGCAUUUGAAACUGGUUGUCUGGAGUACCGGAGAGGUAAGUGGAAUUCCUGGUGGAGCGGUGAAAUGCGUAGAUAUAAGGAAGAACA